This is a non-coding RNA of Sarcophilus harrisii (Tasmanian devil), 64 nucleotides long. The record is from Rfam. Lineage: Eukaryota; Metazoa; Chordata; Mammalia; Dasyuromorphia; Dasyuridae.
UUUGCAUUAAUGAGGAUAGAAGCGUAAACUAUAACUUAGGGGCUUCUGUUGGAUUGUUUGCAAU